GCCUUAACAAAGAACAAACGACAUAAUGUAGGUAUGGUACUCGCUAUAACCUUUAAUUCUAUAUAAUACAUAAAUGUAUGUAUCAAAUACAAACAGAAUAACAAUAAUAUCAUAAUUCCAAAUACAAAUUCACAUUUAAUCAUCCGUGAAUACACGUGUCUUCUUUAGGCUAUAGCGAGAGUCGAUGGUCAGAAAGGUGACCGCACGGGUUUUA
Molecule: long non-coding RNA, 214 nt
Filed under: Mytilus galloprovincialis (Mediterranean mussel)
Lineage: Eukaryota; Metazoa; Mollusca; Bivalvia; Mytilida; Mytilidae
Source: RNAcentral